This 1486-nucleotide ribosomal RNA is filed under the name metagenome. Its description in RNAcentral is "bacterial SSU rRNA". It matches the Rfam family "Bacterial small subunit ribosomal RNA". The record is from RNAcentral.
AGAGUUUGAUCCUGGCUCAGGAUGAACGCUGGCGGCGUGCUUAACACAUGCAAGUCGAACGGGAAUGUUUCGCUGAUGCGAUUUCGGUCAAAUCUUGAAGCAUUUUAGUGGCGGACGGGUGAGUAACGCGUGGGUAACCUGCCCUGUACAGGGGGACAACAGCUGGAAACGACUGCUAAUACCGCAUAAGCGCACAGCUUCGCAUGAAGCAGUGUGAAAAACUCCGGUGGUACAGGAUGGACCCGCGUCUGAUUAGAUAGUUGGUGAGGUAACGGCCCACCAAGUCAACGAUCAGUAGCCGGCCUGAGAGGGCGAACGGCCACAUUGGGACUGAGACACGGCCCAAACUCCUACGGGAGGCAGCAGUGGGGAAUAUUGCACAAUGGGGGAAACCCUGAUGCAGCGACGCCGCGUGAGUGAAGAAGUAUUUCGGUAUGUAAAGCUCUAUCAGCAGGGAAGAAAACAAUGACGGUACCUGACUAAGAAGCCCCGGCUAACUACGUGCCAGCAGCCGCGGUAAUACGUAGGGGGCAAGCGUUAUCCGGAUUUACUGGGUGUAAAGGGAGCGUAGACGGUAGACCAAGUCUGAAGUGAAAGCCCGGGGCUCAACCCCGGAACUGCUUUGGAAACUGGUAAACUAGAGUGCAGGAGAGGUAAGUGGAAUUCCUAGUGUAGCGGUGAAAUGCGUAGAUAUUAGGAGGAACACCAGUGGCGAAGGCGGCUUACUGGACUGUAACUGACGUUGAGGCUCGAAAGCGUGGGGAGCAAACAGGAUUAGAUACCCUGAUAGUCCACACCGUAAACGAUGAUUACUAGGUGUUGGAGGAUUGACCCCUUCAGUGCCGCAGUUAACACAAUAAGUAUCCACCUGGGGAGUACGACCGCAAGGUUGAAACUCAAAGGAAUUGACGGGGGCCCGCACAAGCAGUGGAGUAUGUGGUUUAAUUCGACGCAACGCGAAGAAUCUUACCAAGUCUUGACAUCCUGCGACGCACAUAGAAAUAUGUGUUUCCUUCGGGACGCAGAGACAGGUGGUGCAUGGUUGUCGUCAGCUCGUGUCGUGAUAUGUUGGGUUAAGUCCCGCAACGAGCGCAACCCUUACUGUCAGUUACUACGCAAGAGGACUCUGGCAGGACUGCCGUUGACAAAACGGAGGAAGGUGGGGAUGACGUCAAAUCAUCAUGCCCUUUAUGACUUGGGCUACACACGUACUACAAUGGCGUUAAACAAAGAGAAGCAAGACCGCGAGGUGGAGCAAAACUCAGAAACAACGUCCCAGUUCGGACUGCAGGCUGCAACUCGCCUGCACGAAGUCGGAAUUGCUAGUAAUCGUGGAUCAGCAUGCCACGGUGAAUACGUUCCCGGGCCUUGUACACACCGCCCGUCACACCAUGAGAGCCGGGGGGACCCGAAGUCGGUAGUCUAACCGCAAGGAGGACGCCGCCGAAGGUAAAACUGGUGAUUGGGGUGAAGUCGUAACAAGGUA